GCGUGAGAAUCUGGCUUUAGGUUCGGGACAACCACUGGAAACGGUGGCUAACACCGGAUGUGCUGCAAAGUGAAAAUUAAUUGCCUAAAGAUGAGCUCGCGUCUGAUUAGCUAGUUGGUGGGGUAAGAGCCUACCAAGGCGACGAUCAGUAACUGGUCUGAGAGGAUGACCAGUCACACUGGGACUGAGACACGGCCCAGACUCCUACGGGAGGCAGCAGUGGGGAAUUUUCCGCAAUGGGCGAAAGCCUGACGGAGCAAUACCGCGUGGGGGAGGAAGGUUCUUGGAUUGUAAACCCCU
RNAcentral lists this ribosomal RNA (300 nucleotides) under uncultured Xenococcaceae cyanobacterium. RNAcentral describes it as "bacterial SSU rRNA". It matches the Rfam family "Bacterial small subunit ribosomal RNA", at positions 115 to 434 of the family's 1533-position model. The record is from RNAcentral. Lineage: Bacteria; Bacillati; Cyanobacteriota; Cyanophyceae; Pleurocapsales; Xenococcaceae.